Molecule: small RNA, 2336 nt
Filed under: Pongo abelii (Sumatran orangutan)
Lineage: Eukaryota; Metazoa; Chordata; Mammalia; Primates; Hominidae
Description: retained intron
Source: RNAcentral
GGCUUCUUUGCCUUGUCUACCUCUUUUCUCCAUGUUCUUUCUGUCUCCUUUUCUUGAGAUAGAUACCUGGUAGUACUUCCUUUCUCUUUUCGGGGACUUACUCACUUAUGGAUGGUGCCCUAGAACAUUUGAGGGCCAAGCUUUAGAUGAAAAUCCCAAAUAAUAGAAAGGAUGUAUUGGAAGCUGCACUGUUUUCUGAGUCAUUUGUUAGGAUAAAAGAGAAACUGCUAUUUAAUUCUUUUUUUUUUUUCUGAGAUGGAUUCUCACUCUGUCACUCAGGCAGGAGUGCAAUGGUGUGUUCUUGGCUCACUGCAACCUCCGCCCCCGGGGUUCAAAUGAUUCUCCUGCCUCAGCCCCCAAAGUAGCUGGGAUUAUAGGUGUGCACCACCAUGCCCUGCUAAUUUUUGUAUUUUUAGUAGAGAUGGGGUUUCACCACGUUGGGCAGGCUGGUCUCGAACUCCUGACCUCAAGUGAUCCACCCGCCCGGCCUCCCAAAGUGUUGGGAUUACAGGCAUGAGCCACCGCGCCCAGCCUGCUAUUUAAUUCUUAAAUGAAAGUUAAGGCUGGGUGUCGUGGCUCAUGCCUUUAAUCCCAGCACUUUGGGAGGCUGAGGCAGGAGGAUCACUUGAGGUCAGUUGUUUGAGGCCAGGCAGCAACAUAGCAAGACCCUGUCUCUACAAAAAAUAAAAAUAAAAAAAUUAUCUGAGUGUGAUGGAAUGCACUUCUAAUCCUAGCUACUCAGGAAGCUGAGGCAAGGGGGAUCACUUGAGUGCAGGAAUUCAUGGCCGAAAUGAGCUGUGAUCACCAGUGCACUCCAGCUUGGGUGACAGAGCAAGACCCUGUCUCAAAAAAAUUUAAAAAAGCAUCUCCAAAGAUUUUCAGUUUAUUUCUCUUCAAUAGUACUUUAGGAUGGAGCUGAUGCAUGCUGAAAAACUGAGGAAGGAGAAGGAAGAAUUUGAAAAAGCCAGUAUGGAUGUGGAGAAUCCUGAUUAUUCUGAAGAAAUCCUUAAGGGCGAGUUGGCACGGAUCAUCUACAAAAAUUCUGUAAGCAUAAUUAAAGGUGCAGAAUUUCACGUGUCACUGCUUUCAAUUGCACAGCUAUUUGAUUUUGCCAAAGAUCUACAAAAAGAGAUUUAUGAUGACCUUCAGGCUCUACACACAGAUGAUCCUCUCACUUGGGAUUAUGUGGCAAGGCGAGAAUUAGAGAUUGAGUCACAGACAGAAGAGCAGCCUACAACAAAACAAGCCAAAGCAGUGGAGGUCGGCCGGAAGGAGGAGAGGUGCUAUGCUGUAUAUGAAGAGGCAGUGAAGACUCUGCCAACAGAGGCCAUGUGGAAGUGUUACAUCACCUUUUGCUUGGAAAGAUUUACUAAGAAGUCAAAUAGUGGGUUCCUUAGAGGGAAGAGGUUGGAAAGAACCAUGACUGUAUUCAGGAAGGCACAUGAACUGAAGCUUCUGUCAGAAUGCCAAUACAAGCAGCUGAUUGUUUCGUUGCUGUGUCAUAACUUCCUGAGGGAAGCUCUGGAAGUGGCAGUAGCUGGAACUGAAUUGUUUAGAGACUCUGGGACAAUGUGGCAGCUGAAGCUGCGGGUGCUGAUCGAGUCAAAGAGCCCUGACGUAGCCAUGCUUUUUGAAGAAGCCUUUGUGCACCUGAAACCCCAGGUUUGUCUGCCAUUGUGGAUUUCCUGGGCAGAGUGGAGUGAAGGUGCCAAAAGCCAAGAAGACACUGAGGCAGUCUUUAAGAAAGCUCUCUUAGCUGUCAUAGGUGCUGACUCUGUAACCCUGAAGAAUAAGUAUCUGGAUUGGGCUUAUCGAAGUGGUGGCUACAAAAAGGCCAGAGCUGUGUUUAAAAGUUUACAGGAGAGCCGACCAUUUUCAGUUGACUUUUUCAGGAAAAUGAUUCAGUUUGAAAAGGAGCAAGAAUCCUGCAAUAUGGCGAACAUAAGAGAAUAUUAUGAGAGAGCUUUGAGAGAGUUUGGAUCCGCAGAUUCUGAUCUUUGGAUGGAUUAUAUGAAAGAAGAAUUGAACCACCCCCUUGGUAGACCUGAGAACUGUGGACAGAUCUACUGGCGAGCGAUGAAAAUGUUGCAGGGAGAGUCAGCAGAGGCAUUUGUAGCUAAACAUGCUAUGCAUCAGACUGGCCAUUUGUGAAGAUGAAGAAUACAGUCAGCUUUGUGAAAUAGUAUUGCAAGCAAGCCCUGUGGGCAAAUUUGUAUUGAGUCCCUCUGUAAUUUGCUCAGUGAUGGCAGCCAAGAUGGCUGUCUGGUUUGAGACACACUUUAAUUUUAUGUUAACUUGUUAAAUCUUUUUUAAAAAUUAAAAAAUUUUUAUGAUUG